CACAGCCUAAGCUAUUUAACCCGAACAAACAGCUUCCCAAAAUUGGAAAGAGGAAUAAUUUUAACUGCUGCAAUUAUGGACAGCAGCCCACCACUAAUUCUAACCCCUCCUUUAUAAUAUUAUAGCCAUGACACAUUCUUUCAAGAAACCAUAAUCAACAAGCAUGGAUAUUGACACACUAUCAAGGCAAAAUUUUAAAAUAGGAGCCGCAUGGAACCUAAGACACAUAAAAUUAGUUCAUAAAAUCCGACAUUGAAUAAAUAGCAACACAAUAUUAAG
Molecule: long non-coding RNA, 279 nt
Filed under: Solanum tuberosum (potato)
Lineage: Eukaryota; Viridiplantae; Streptophyta; Magnoliopsida; Solanales; Solanaceae
Description: long non-coding RNA (STUB_LNC005871)
Source: RNAcentral